Molecule: long non-coding RNA, 353 nt
Organism: Ochotona princeps (American pika)
Lineage: Eukaryota; Metazoa; Chordata; Mammalia; Lagomorpha; Ochotonidae
Exons: 3
Source: RefSeq, a predicted model, not a curated record
CAGCAUCACCUGAAGUUGUGGUUGCUGUCCUAGAGAACUGCAGGAUUGCCGCUCGGAAACGGGGCGACUCAGAUUGAGCACACCAUUUUGCUUUGAAUCACUCUUCCAGAUCUGCUCUGGUUAUUAAGGCUGUAUUCCAAGGGGAAUACACAUAGACAGGACCCACUUUGUGACACAAUGAGUUUUAGAAGGACGCAUCGUAGAGCACCUGGCCGAAGGGCCAGUUUUAACUCAAGCCUCUACUGUUGCCUUCCAUUCUUCGAACAUCAGGACAGAACUGAGGAUCAGACCGAAUAUUCCGAGAGCAGCGUGGAGGAGGAGUUAGCGUUGCAGAAGUCGUCCUUCUGUUCCUC